This 351-nucleotide ribosomal RNA is filed under the name Triticum aestivum (bread wheat). RNAcentral describes it as "partial small subunit ribosomal RNA". The record is from RNAcentral. Lineage: Eukaryota; Viridiplantae; Streptophyta; Magnoliopsida; Poales; Poaceae.
ACAAUUUCAAGAUCCAGUACAGAGGCAGAGUACAAAGCAUUGGCUAAUGCAACAGCAGAGAUCAUAUGGGUACAGUCAAUCUUAAAGGAACUUGGUAUAAGAAGCACUAGAGCUCCAUGUUUGUGGUGUGACAAUCUAGGAGCUACCUAUCUGUCAGCAAAUCCAGUCUUUCAUGCUAAAACCAAGCACAUUGAAAUAGAUUUUCACUUUGUUCGAGAAAGAGUUGCAAAUAAGCUUUUGGAUAUUCGGUUCAUUCAUUCUCAAGACCAAGUUGCUGAUGGUUUUACCAAAGCAUUGCCUACAAGAAGUUUUGAAGACUUCAAGCAUAAUCUCAACCUAACGAAGUUGUGA